This 231-nucleotide unclassified non-coding RNA is filed under the name Hevea brasiliensis (rubber tree). Lineage: Eukaryota; Viridiplantae; Streptophyta; Magnoliopsida; Malpighiales; Euphorbiaceae. The record is from RNAcentral.
GAGGAGAGAAUUUCUUUGCAAAUCUUCACAGGUGCUGAAGAUGGAGAGCAAUUUUGAUGCCACAAAUGAAAGGGAAUGUAGUGUCUGCCUUUUUGAUUUGCACCUAUCUGCAGCAGGAUGUCCUUGUUCUCCAGAUAAGUAUGCAUGCUUGAAUCAUGCAAAGCAGAUGUGUUCAUGUGAUUGGGGUACCAAAUAUUUUCUAUUUCGCUAUGACAUCAGUGAAUUAAACAU